AUUUCUCCCACUCAAAUUAGGAAAGGGUCUUCCAAAUCAUUUAGGAUUUUAGAUCAUAAAUCUAAUAUAAUGGUACAUAAUGGACUUGUUUAAGAGGAAGAUUUUCCAAAAAGAGUUACGGUUUUUAAGAGUUUUUGGAGGUUUUAAAAACUUUCAAAACCCUAAAUUUCUCAACCAAAUCGAAGUGUUGGAAGGUUUUCAUAAAUUAUAUAUUAUGUAUGACCUAUAUUGCCCUCAGUUUCUCACUCGUUUAAGCCUUAAUCUGUUCUUUUUUGCUUCAAAAUUAAUUAAAUCAUUGUUUCAAAUUUACCACUAACCAGAAAGGAAUAUAUAUAUAUAGUUCAAGAGAACA
RNAcentral lists this unclassified non-coding RNA (352 nucleotides) under Hevea brasiliensis (rubber tree). The record is from RNAcentral. Lineage: Eukaryota; Viridiplantae; Streptophyta; Magnoliopsida; Malpighiales; Euphorbiaceae.